AUGACUCACAACUCCCUCCUUCUCUCGCCCCUUUCCUUUUUCUCCUGUCCUCUCUCUUUCCUCAGGUUUGUCCUGUCCUCUCUCUUUCCUCAGGGUUGUCCUGUCCUCUCUCUUUCCUCAGGGUUGUCCUGUCCUCUCUCUUUCCUCAGGGUUGUCCUGUCCUCUCUCUUUCCUCAGGGUUGUCCUGUCCUCUCUCUUUCCUCAGGGUUGUCCUGUCCUCUCUCUUUCCUCAGGUUGUCCUGUCCUCUCUCUUUCCUCAGGGUUGUCCUGUCCUCUCUCUUUCCUCAGGUUGUCCUGUCCUCUCUCUUUCCUCAGGUUGUCCUGUCCUCUCUCUUUCCUCAGGUUUGUCCUGUCCUCUCUCUUUCCUCAGGUUUGUCCUGUCCUCUCUCUUUCCUCAGGUUUGUCCUGUCCUCUCUCUUUCCUCAGGUUUGUCCUGUCCUCUCUCUUUCCUCAGGUUUGUCCUGUCCUCUCUCUUUCCUCAGGUUUGUCCUGUCCUCUCUCUUUCCUCAGGUUUGUCCUGUCCUCUCUCUUUCCUCAGGUUUGUCCUGUCCUCUCUCUUUCCUCAGGUUUGUCCUGUCCUCUCUCUUUCCUCAGGUUUGUCCUGUCCUCUCUCUUUCCUCAGGUUGUCCUGUCCUCUCUCUUUCCUCAGGUUUGUCCUGUCCUCUCUCUUUCCUCAGGUUGUCCUGUCCUCUCUCUUUCCUCAGGUUUGUCCUGUCCUCUCUCUUUCCUCAGGUUUGUCCUGUCCUCUCUCUUUCCUCAGGUUUGUCCUGUCCUCUCUCUUUCCUCAGGGUUGUCCUGUCCUCUCUCUUUCCUCAGGGUUGUCCUGUCCUCUCUCUUUCCUCAGGGUUGGUCCUGUCCUCUCUCUUUCCUCAGGGUUGGUCCUGUCCUCUCUCUUUCCUCAGGGUUGGUCCUGUCCUCUCUCUUUCCUCAGGGUUGGUCCUGUCCUCUCUCUUUCCUCAGGGUUGGUCCUGUCCUCUCUCUUUCCUCAGGGUUGGUCCUGUCCUCUCUCUUUCCUCAGGGUUGGUCCUGUCCUCUCUCUUUCCUCAGGGUUGGUCCUGUCUUUGA
RNAcentral lists this long non-coding RNA (1065 nucleotides) under Oncorhynchus kisutch (coho salmon). RNAcentral's name for it is "lncRNA (ENSOKIG00005026561.1)". Lineage: Eukaryota; Metazoa; Chordata; Actinopteri; Salmoniformes; Salmonidae. The record is from RNAcentral.